Molecule: ribosomal RNA, 660 nt
Filed under: uncultured bacterium
Lineage: Bacteria
Description: bacterial SSU rRNA
Rfam family: Bacterial small subunit ribosomal RNA
Source: RNAcentral
AGUGGCGGACGGGUGAGUAACGCGUGAGAAUCUGCCUUGGGGUCGGGGACAACCACUGGAAACGGUGGCUAAUACCGGAUAAGCCGAUUGGUGAAAGAUUUAUUGCCCGAAGAGGAGCUCGCGUCUGAUUAGCUAGUUGGUGAGGUAAGAGCUCACCAAGGCAGCGAUCAGUAGCUGGUCUGAGAGGACGAUCAGCCACACUGGGACUGAGACACGGCCCAGACUCCUACGGGAGGCAGCAGUGGGGAAUUUUCCGCAAUGGGCGAAAGCCUGACGGAGCAAGACCGCGUGAGGGAGGAAGGCUCUUGGGUUGUAAACCUCUUUUCUCAGGGAAGAAGCUCUGACGGUACCUGAGGAAUCAGCCUCGGCUAACUCCGUGCCAGCAGCCGCGGUAAUACGGAGGAGGCAAGCGUUAUCCGGAAUUAUUGGGCGUAAAGCGUCCGCAGGUGGCGAUUCAAGUCUGCUGUCAAAGCACGGGGCUUAACUCCGUAAAGGCAGUGGAAACUGAAUAGCUAGAGUGCCGUAGGGGUAGAGGGAAUUCCCGGUGUAGCGGUGAAAUGCGUUGAGAUCGGGAAGAACAUCGGUGGCGAAAGCGCUCUACUGGACGGCAACUGACACUCAGGGACGAAAGCUAGGGGAGCGAAUGGGAUUAGAUACCCC